GUUUGCCUAGCCUAGUGUGCGUAAAGCAGGUCACACACUUGCCCCGAACCAACACCGAACUGUGAUCUUUUCUUCCCACGUCUAAUUUUCGAUUGGACAACUUUCUCCCACGUGUGCCGGCCGGAGAUACUUAAAUAUGUCCCCAGAGAGCAAAUGAUUGUACUCGUGGUUUAGUAUUAUGAAUUGCCUCUUGAUACGGACCUAUUAAAAGAACCAACUGCCUGCCACAGGAUGACAUCGUUAAUCGGAGGACUCGUCUUUUGCAUUUCCUUCCUUGCCCUGGAAGUCCAAGCAACAUACCGACUUUAUGGAGAAUACCAUCCUCGGCAGCAUCAGGCAGACAGCCCCAUCGUGCCACGGCAAACGUUUCAGCGGAACUUCCAACAGCAACAGCCAUUUCAGAGUGUUCAGCAAGAAACCCACUGCAAAAGCCGCCCCCUAGAUCUGGUGUUCAUCAUCGACAGCUCCCGUAGCGUACGCCCCCAAGAAUUUGAGAAGGUCAAAAUCUUCUUGGCUGACAUGGUCGACACCCUCGAGAUUGGCGCAGACGCCACACGUGUUGCCGUUGUGAACUACGCUAGCACAGUGAAGAUUGAGUUCCUGCUCAAGACGCACUUCGACAAGCCGGGCCUGAAAGCAGCGUUGGCGCGCAUCGAAUCCUUAGCGGCUGGCACCAUGACGGGGCUAGCCAUCAAGACGGCCAUGGAGGAGACCUUCACCGAGGGAUCGGGCGCCCGGCUAACCAACAAGAACAUCGCCAAGGUGGCCAUCAUCGUGACGGACGGGCGGCCCCAGGACACGGUGGAGGAGGUUGCCGCGGCGGCGAGGGCGGCAGGCAUCGAGAUCUACGCAGUCGGGGUGGACAGGGCGGACAUGAAGUCCCUGCGUCUCAUGGCCAGUCUGCCAUUGGAUGAACACGUGUUCUACGUGGAGACCUACGGCGUCAUCGAGAAGCUCACGUCCAAGUUCAGGGAAACGCUGUGUGGUGUGGACGCCUGUGCCCUGGGACACGACUGCGACCACAUAUGUGUCAACAACAACAACAACAACGCGUACGCCUGCAAGUGUCGAGAAGGCUAUACACUGAAUGCAGACAAGAAAACAUGCUCACCAGGUUCUUUGCAAAACCAAAACCAAAACCAGAACCAGAACCAAAACCAGAACCAGAACCAAAACCCAAACCAAAAUGGAUCAGGUUCCAACGGUUGGUGCACCUUUAUUUCAGAAUUCAUAGGCUAGAAAUCCUAAGUGCUGCUGUUAUGGUAUGCAUGCCCAGUGCUUGAAGUGGACUGAAAUAGAUGCCACAGUCAUUCUGUCUGCUGGUACUGUUAUAUUUAUUAUUCUACAAGAGGUGGAGAAACUCAUGAUGUCGAACAUUUAAGGUGCCCCCGGAACUCAGUCCCUGUGUGUUCCUGCCAAAGUCAAGCACUGUGCAUGCCACUAUCCAAUGCGUUUACGCCAUCUUUGCUAGCUAACAUUGCUUUGUCCCCUCUUCACCUUAUACGGCUAAUACAUGGUGAGUUUGUUGUGAUGCGUCGGCGUGGCUUAUUUAGCAUUAAAACCCACAGAGCUGCAGAGUAGCCCGGGCUGCAGGGCUAGAGCUCUCGACCUGCCUUGGUUAUCGACGGUUCCAAGAGCGUCCGUCUGGACAACUUUGAGCUGGUGAUGAGUCGGCGCUGGCACUGUCCAGUUUGGCCUGAUCCAGUACACCAGCUCAGUCCGGACCUAGUUCACCUUAAACCACCACCAAGGCUUUGAAGAAGGCAGUGAGAGGUGUUCAGUACAUGGGCUCCGUGUUGGUCCUGCUCCACCUGCUGGACAGGAGCUUCACACAGGGAGAAGGCACCGGCCAAAGUGCUCCGGGUGGCCAUCGUGCUGACGGAUGGACAGUUGCAAAACGACAUCUCGGGGCAUGCCUGGAACCUUAAAGAGCAAGGUGUGGAGAUGUACGCGAUGGGUUAAACGGAGGAGAGCGAGCUCCUGGAGAUUGCCUCUGAGCCCCACAACCAGCAUUACGUUCACUCGGCUGACUUUAGCACCGUGGACUCCAUAAAGAGCGAGUUCUGCCACUGUAAGGAAGAAGGAAAUGGAUACGCAUGGGAAGGUGCAGCAUGAGCUAGCCGCUAGGGGAACAACAACUAGAUCCAGGAGAAGGACCCAAAGGAGGAGCCUGGUCGACUGACUUGUGUUUGGCCUCAUACGUUUGUUGGACU
Salvelinus fontinalis (brook trout) is the source of this 2213-nucleotide RNA transcript. It is a transcript of the gene named matrilin-3-like, with no coding region annotated. The transcript has 5 exons. NCBI's taxonomy places the organism in Eukaryota, Metazoa, Chordata, Actinopteri, Salmoniformes, Salmonidae. The record is from RefSeq and is a predicted model, not a curated record.